GAUGAAGAACGCAGUGAAAUGCGAUAAGUAAUGUGAAUUGCAGAAUUCAGUGAAUCAUCGAAUCUUUGAACGCACAUUGCGCCCGCCAGCAUUCUGGCGGGCAUGCCUGUUCGAGCGUCAUUUCAACCCUCGAGCCCCCCCGGGGGCCUCGGUGUUGGGGGACGGCACACCAGCCGCCCCCGAAAUGCAGUGGCGACCUCGCCGCAGCCUCCACUGCGUAGUAGUACACACCUCGCACCGGAGCGCGGAGACGGUCACGCCGUAAAACGCCCAACUUCUUAGAGUUGACCUCGGAUCAGGUAGGAAUACCCGCUGAACUUAAGCAUAUCAAUAAGCGGAGGA
Molecule: unclassified non-coding RNA, 342 nt
Filed under: soil metagenome
Description: partial contains 5.8S ribosomal RNA, internal transcribed spacer 2, and large subunit ribosomal RNA
Rfam family: 5.8S ribosomal RNA (bases 1-120)
Source: RNAcentral